UGAAGGAAGCUGAUAGCAAACCAUCAGCCUGACGAACAGGAAGCGGAUGUGAGGCGGGACGACAGGGAGAGCUGGCUGGGAUCAGUUAACCCAGUACCGAUACGGAAAGUCGUCACGUAAAUCCGACAGGUAGGAUGGGAAG
This 142-nucleotide non-coding RNA is filed under the name uncultured Sutterella sp. The record is from RNAcentral. Lineage: Bacteria; Pseudomonadati; Pseudomonadota; Betaproteobacteria; Burkholderiales; Sutterellaceae.